RNAcentral lists this ribosomal RNA (471 nucleotides) under uncultured bacterium. RNAcentral's name for it is "bacterial SSU rRNA". It matches the Rfam family "Bacterial small subunit ribosomal RNA", at positions 335 to 797 of the family's 1533-position model. The record is from RNAcentral.
ACUCCUACGGGAGGCAGCAGUGGGGAAUAUUGCACAAUGGGCGCAAGCCUGAUGCAGCCAUGCCGCGUGUAUGAAGAAGGCCUUCGGGUUGUAAAGUACUUUCAGCAGUGAGGAAGGUGGAGUCGUUAAUAGCGGCCUCAUUUGACGUUAGCUGCAGAAGAAGCACCGGCUAACUCCGUGCCAGCAGCCGCGGUAAUACGGAGGGUGCGAGCGUUAAUCGGAAUUACUGGGCGUAAAGCGUACGCAGGCGGUUUGUUAAGCGAGAUGUGAAAGCCCCGGCUCAACCUGGGAACUGCAUUUCGAACUGGCAAAUCUAGAGUGUGAUAGAGGUGGUAGAAUUUCAGGUGUAGCAGGUGAAAUGCGUAAGAGAUCUGAAGGAAUACCGAUGGCGAAGGCAGCCACCUGGUCAACACUGACGCUCAUGUACGAAAGCGUGGGGAGCAAACAGGAUUAGAUACCCUGGUAAGCUCU